UACGUAGGGUGCGAGCGUUAAUCGGAAUUACUGGGCGUAAAGCGUGCGCAGGCGGUUUGGUAAGACAGAUGUGAAAUCCCCGGGCUUAACCUGGGAAUGGCAUUUGUGACUGCCCGGCUAGAGUGUGUCAGAGGGGGGUAGAAUUCCACGUGUAGCAGUGAAAUGCGUAGAUAUGUGGAGGAAUACCGAUGGCGAAGGCAGCCCCCUGGGAUAACACUGACGCUCAUGCACGAAAGCGUGGGGAGCAAACAGG
Molecule: ribosomal RNA, 253 nt
Filed under: uncultured bacterium
Lineage: Bacteria
Description: partial 16S ribosomal RNA
Rfam family: Bacterial small subunit ribosomal RNA
Source: RNAcentral